Long non-coding RNA from Asparagus officinalis (garden asparagus), 286 nucleotides. RefSeq lists it as uncharacterized. The record is from RefSeq and is a predicted model, not a curated record. The transcript is spliced from 2 exons. Lineage: Eukaryota; Viridiplantae; Streptophyta; Magnoliopsida; Asparagales; Asparagaceae.
UCGAAAUGCCUAUAGACGCAGUCGAAGGGAUUCCUCUUGAAAUGCCAUUAGUGUACUUCUAUGGGCACAUAACUCCUAGGUUGGGACUUAUAUUUGCAGGUGGAACUGGUGAUGAGGAUGAUGAUGAUGAUGAUCAGGAGGACUGAUUUGUUUUUUUUAUCUUUGAAAAUAAUGAAUGAGUGUGUGCUGUAUAAACAAUAUUUCAUGGUGUGCUGUAUAAACAAUAUUUAUUAUGUUGGGAUAUUUUUAUUAAAAUAUUUGUGUUAUAUAUACGUGAGAAUGAAUA